CUAAACAUUAUCCUUUCUCUCUGUCAAUUACUACGUACUAUGGUUUAAUUAUCACAUAAUCUCUACUAAUAAAAGGGACCUUUUGAGGCUCCAUAGAGCGUCCACAUCAGCAAAAAAAACUUCUCUCGAAAGAUGACACGUGGCAUAAAAUAUUACAAAUUUUUGAAAAUUAUAAAUAAUAUGUAAACAUACAACACAAAAAAUAGAAAAACUACAUUAAACAUAUGUAAGAUUACCAUUUUUCACUUAAAAAAAAAGACGGAUUAUCUCCAUAAUAUAACAUUACCGUUUUAUAAAAAAAACAAAAAACAUUAUAUAUAAUUUCAAGAAUAAUAAAUAUAUGUAAACAUACAACAUAAAAAAAUAGAAAUACUACAUUAAACAUAUGUAAGAUUACCAUUUUACAUUUUAAUUUAAAAAUAAUAAUAUGUAAACAUACAACAUAAAAAUGGAAAAACUACAUUAAUUAAACAUAUGUAAGAUUACCAUUUUUAGUGAAUAUUACAAAUUUUUGAAAAUUAUAAAUAAUAUGUAAACAUACAACACAAAAAAUAGAAAAACUACAUUAAACAUAUGUAAGAUUACCAUUUUUCACUUAAAAAAAAAGACGGAUUAUCUCCAUAAUAUAACAUUACCGUUUUAUAAAAAAAACAAAAAACAUUAUAUAUAAUUUCAAGAAUAAUAAAUAUAUGUAAACAUACAACAUAAAAAAAUAGAAAUACUACAUUAAACAUAUGUAAGAUUACCAUUUUACAUUUUUAUUUAAAAAUAAUAAUAUGUAAACAUACAACAUAAAAAUGGAAAAACUACAUUAAUUAAACAUAUGUAAGAUUACCAUUUUUCACUAAAAAAACGGAUUAUCUCCAUAAUGUAAUAUUACUAUUUUGUAAAAAAACAUUAUAUAUAAUUUCGAAAAUAAUAAAUAAUAUGUAAACAUACAACAUAAAAAAUGGAAAUACUACAUUAAACAUAUGUAAGAUUACCAUUUUACAUUUAAAAAUAACAAUAAUAUGUAAACACACAACAUAAAAAAAAUAGAAAAACUACAUUAAACAUAUGUAAGCUUACAAUUUUCACUAAAAAAACGGCUUAUCUCCAUAAUGUAACAUUACCAUUAUAUAAAAAAAGAAAAAAAACAUAAAUAUAACUAUUUGACUAUUUGUCCAAGUUCUUCUAUUGAACAUUGCCGCUUUACACUAAAAAUGGAAAAAUACAUUAAGAUUUAACCAUCUAUCUUAAAAUAUAAAAUAUAUAAAUUAACUAAAUAUAAAGUAUAAGAAAGAGAAAUACUCAAUAUAUAGAAAAAUAAAUAAUAAGUAAAUAUUAUAAAUAUACAAAUUAUAUAUACAAUAAUAAGUAAAUGCACAAUUUAUAAGAAAUGGAAAGAGUAUAUUAAAUAUUAAACAUCUAUCUUAAAAUGCAAAAUAUAGAUAUUAAGUAAAUAGAAAGUAUAAGAAAAAGAAAUACACAACUUAAAAACAAUGGAAAAAGUAUAUUAAGAUUUAAGCAUCCAUCUUAAAAUGUAAAAUAUAGAUAUUACGCAAAUAGAAAGUAUAAGAAAAGGAAAUACACAAUUUAAAAAAUGGACAAAGUACAUUAGUAUUUAAACAUCUAUCUUAAAAUGUAAAUCUAUCUUAAAAUAUAAAAUUAUUAGUAAAUAGAAAGUAUAAGAAAUAGAAAUACACAAUAUAAAAAAAAUUAGUAAAUAUAUAAUAUAAGUAAAUACCCAAUUAAAAAAAUGGAAAAUUACAUUAAGUUUUAAAAAUAUAUCUUAAAAUUUAAAAUGUAGAUAUUACGUAAAUAGAAAGUAUAACAAAUGAAACGUACAUUAAGAUUUAAACAUCUAUAUUAAAAUGUAAAAUAGAGAUAUUAAGUAAAUAAAAAGUACAAGAAAUAGAAAUACAUAUACAGGAAAAUAAAUAAUAAGUAAAUAAUAAGUAAAUAAUGUAAAUAUAUAAUACAUGAAUUAUAUAUAUAAUAAUAAGUAAAUACACAACAAAAUUUAAAAAAUGGAAAAAGUUCAUUAAGCAUUAAUCAUCUAUCUUAAAAUGUAAAAUAUAUAAUAUAAGGAAAUACACAAUUUGAAAAAAUGGAAAAAGUACAUUAAGAUUUAAAUAUCUAUUUUAAAAUAUAAAAUAUAGAUAUUACGUAAAAAAAAAUAAGAAAUGGAAAUAAACAUUUUAAAAAAUGGAAAAAGUAUAUUAAGAUUUAAACAUCUCUCUUAAAAUGUACAUCUAUCUUAAAAUGGUAAUAAAUUAUAUAAAAAUAGAAAUACCACAUUAAAAAAAAGUAUAGUUUUACAUCAAGAAAGUCCCUAUAAAACUCAUUAUACCAUCAACAUCAACCUCACACUAUCAAGGAAAGCUUCAAAGCACUCGAGCAAAAAAAUGGUUCCACCAUUAACUCUUGCCGUCCAAAAACUUUUAACGACCUUGAAGGAGAUUUUUUAUAAGAACGAACUUUUUAUUAGGUGGAUUCAUUGUUGGGAACCCCGCAACUUCCAAAGGGCAAACUUAUUCAUGAGAAUUGAAUUGUUUUUCAUAGACUCAAAGGUAUUCUUACAAAUUUAAAUUAAUCUAAUCCAUAAUUUUAUUGUUAAUAUUCAUACUAACUCUUUCAUGAUCAAACCAUUACAGUUAAUAUCCAUUCAAGCGUUUAUCACGGAACACUUCCUUCCUCGCCG
Molecule: long non-coding RNA, 2683 nt
Filed under: Brassica rapa (field mustard)
Lineage: Eukaryota; Viridiplantae; Streptophyta; Magnoliopsida; Brassicales; Brassicaceae
Description: long non-coding RNA (BRAP_LNC007302)
Source: RNAcentral